UGUGUGAUUUUCAUGAAUAAAUAAAAUCUUAAAAAAAAAAUCAACCACAUUGGAAGAGAUAUAGCAGCCCAGUCUAGGCAGCAUCCUUUCUUGAAAGGUAAAAAUAAAUAGGUGAUGAUAGAUAGAUAGAUAGAUAGAUAGAUAGAUAGAUAGAUAGAUGAUAGACAGAUAGAUAGAUAAUCAUGGCAGCCAUAAAGCAAAGGAAACCAUAGCUCUAAACGGAGUUGCAUAUGUUUGGCCUCUCUUAUGCCUGCCUCUUUAGUUUGAGUUUUACUAAAGCCUGUGCUCCACACUCAGAAGCAGUCAGAAGUGUUUAUCUUCGAUCUUCUGUGAAGUUGAUGCACAGGAGAAAGCAGUGAGAAUAACAACAGCCUACAGUUUGGGGACAUUCACCACGUGACAGGUGUUCCACCCUGGUUUACAGAGCCUAGAACACUAAAGUGGGAAGAAGACGCUCAAUACAUACUUAUUGAAUGAAUUAAUUCCUCUGUAAAAUGGACCAUAAACCUCUGUCUUGGACUUCCUGGCCACAGAAGAAGGAACUUCUUUUGUUGCAUGAGCUGCCCUAAAGACAACCUUCACUCAGGCCAGUCUAGCGGAACCAGAUCCUUGGAGGGGAAUUAGGGAAAGAACGCAGGAGGAGGCCCCAUUCCCAGGUACUGUGUAGACCAGGGCCUGAAGCAGAGCCAGAAACCUUCGCCCAGAGAUGACAGAAGCCCUAAUGGAGGUGCCUAAGGGACGGGUGGGGAUUUUAACACCAAAGUUGGAGGUCUCAGCAAUGGCUCAGGGACUAAGCUGACAAAGAAAGAAGACACACAAGAUAAAUAAUAACAAUGGACCAAAGACCAGAGAUCCUAUCCAAACCUCCUGGACAGUGCAAAUCCUGAGGUUAUGUUAUUCCCCCAAGGGAGGGAAAGAAGCCUGUUCCUCCCCAGCAACCAACCCUUGCUGGUCCAGACAUAAUCAUAUUUAAGUAAAAGAGAAAUAUGUAUUGUACAUGAAAGUUGUAGAGCUAAUUCAUAAAGGUCCUACAGAUGUAUAGUUCCUGAUCUAAUGUCAGGCACUUAGUAGAAACUUAACAGAUGCUAGUUUUCUCUUCUUACUGACCAGAAAAUGCUGUAAUGGUCAAAUUUGUCGAUCUUGGAGAUGAUGGAAGAAAGCUCCUGCUCAAAGUAGGAGCCUCAUGUUGCAAAAUA
This is a long non-coding RNA of Canis lupus familiaris (dog), 1196 nucleotides long. RefSeq lists it as uncharacterized. The record is from RefSeq and is a predicted model, not a curated record. The transcript has 3 exons. NCBI's taxonomy places the organism in Eukaryota, Metazoa, Chordata, Mammalia, Carnivora, Canidae.